Molecule: ribosomal RNA, 2290 nt
Filed under: Cymbionotum semelederi
Lineage: Eukaryota; Metazoa; Arthropoda; Insecta; Coleoptera; Carabidae
Description: SSU rRNA
Rfam family: Eukaryotic small subunit ribosomal RNA
Source: RNAcentral
GGUUGAUCCUGCCAGUAGUCAUAUGCUUGUCUCAAAGAUUAAGCCAUGCAUGUCUCAGUACAAACUAAAUUAAAGUGAAACCGCGAAAGGCUCAUUAAAUCAGUUAUGGUUCCUUAGAUCGUACCACAUAAAUUACUUGGAUAACUGUGGUAAUUCUAGAGCUAAUACAUGCAAACAGAGCUUCAACCAGAAAUGGAAGAAGUGCUUUUAUUAGAACAAAACCAAUCGGCAUCAAUAUUUUGAAAUAUAUAUUACUUUAAUCGGUAUAUAUAUUUUUUAUAUUGUUUGUCGUAAUUUAUGGUGAAUCUGAAUAACUUUUUGCUGAUCGCAUGGUCUUGCACCGGCGACGCAUCUUUCAAAUGUCUGCCUUAUCAACUGUCGAUGGUAGGUUCUGCGCCUACCAUGGUUGUAACGGGUAACGGGGAAUCAGGGUUCGAUUCCGGAGAGGGAGCCUGAGAAACGGCUACCACAUCCAAGGAAGGCAGCAGGCGCGCAAAUUACCCACUCCCAGCACGGGGAGGUAGUGACGAAAAAUAACGAUACGGGACUCAUCCGAGGCCCCGUAAUCGGAAUGAGUACACUUUAAAUCCUUUAACAAGGAUCUAUUGGAGGGCAAGUCUGGUGCCAGCAGCCGCGGUAAUUCCAGCUCCAAUAGCGUAUAUUAAAGUUGUUGCGUUUAAAAAGCUCGUAGUUGAAUUUGUGUUAUACACUGUCGGUUCACCGCCCGCGGUGUUUAACUGGCAUGUUUUGUAUAACGUCAUGAUGGUGGAUGGAGAGAUCGUUUAUGUAACCUGCUAUAUUUAUCUGUUUUAUGUUUUGUAUUAUUAUUAUGAUAUGUUGAUAUGUGUUGUUAUUGUGUGUGGUUCUAAUAUUUUUUUCAUUUAAUACUGUGGGUAUGAAAAACUAUAUAUCUUUUUAUAUAUAUAUAUUUGAUGUUUUGUAUAUUAUAUAUUAUUAGACCACUAAUUCUUAUGAUAAUAUAGUGUAUAGGUACUAAGUGAUCGCCAUCCGACUUUAAAAUCCUGUCACAGUGCUCUUAAUUGAGUGUUGAGAUGGGCCAUCACAUUUACUUUGAACAAAUUAAAGUGCUUAAAGCAGGCUAAAAUUUUGCCUGAAUAUAUAUUGCAUGGAAUAAUGGAACAGGACCUUAGUUCUAUUUUGUUGGUUUUCGGAAUACUAAGGUAAUGAUUAAUAGGGACAGAUGGGGGCAUUCGUAUUGCGACGUUAGAGGUGAAAUUCUUGGAUCGUCGCAAGACGGACAGAAGCGAAAGCAUUUGCCAAAAAUGUUUUCAUUAAUCAAGAACGAAAGUCAGAGGUUCGAAGGCGAUCAGAUACCGCCCUAGUUCUGACCAUAAACGAUGCCAACCAGCGAUCCGCCGAUGUUCCUCCGAUGACUCGGCGGGCAGCUUCCGGGAAACCAAAGUUUUUGGGUUCCGGGGGAAGUAUGGUUGCAAAGCUGAAACUUAAAGGAAUUGACGGAAGGGCACCACCAGGAGUGGAGCCUGCGGCUUAAUUUGACUCAACACGGGAAACCUCACCAGGCCCGGACACUGGAAGGAUUGACAGAUUGAUAGCUCUUUCUUGAUUCAGUGGGUGGUGGUGCAUGGCCGUUCUUAGUUGGUGGAGCGAUUUGUCUGGUUAAUUCCGAUAACGAACGAGACUCUAGCCUGUUAACUAGGCGUAAAAUUUAACCAGUAUCUUGAAGGCUUGCAUCUUAUGUUUGUUCACUUUCAUGUUAAAUGUUUUAAUCUUUGGGGUGUAUAUAUUUAAUGUUUUUUGUAUUAUGUAUGUUUCGGCAUACCUCUAAUAUGAAGCCAUUAUUAUAAUAUCCUCGGGGUUUUUCUUUUUUCAUGUUUUGUGGCACAUAAGUUUGCAGUUUUUACUAUUGGCGUAUUAAUUAUUCUUCUUAGAGGGACAGGCGGCUUCUAGUCGCACGAGAUUGAGCAAUAACAGGUCUGUGAUGCCCUUAGAUGUUCUGGGCCGCACGCGCGCUACACUGAAAGAAUCAACGUGUGUUUUCCUUGGCCGAGAGGUCCGGGUAACCCGUUGAAAUUCUUUCGUGCUAGGGAUUGGGGCUUGUAAUUAUUCCCCAUGAACGAGGAAUUCCCAGUAAGCGCGAGUCAUAAGCUUGCGUUGAUUACGUCCCUGCCCUUUGUACACACCGCCCGUCGCUACUACCGAUUGAAUGAUUUAGUGAGGUCUUCAGACUGGUACGCGGUAAAAUUUUUAUUUUGCCGAUGUAACUGGGAAGAUGACCAAACUUGAUCAUUUAGAGGAAGUAAAGUCGUAC